Molecule: unclassified non-coding RNA, 489 nt
Filed under: Hevea brasiliensis (rubber tree)
Lineage: Eukaryota; Viridiplantae; Streptophyta; Magnoliopsida; Malpighiales; Euphorbiaceae
Source: RNAcentral
AGAAAAACAAGUAUAACCUAUCAGACGAGGAUGAAGAGGACUUUGAAAUUGGUGCCUCAUUGGGAAGAGAUGAUUUUGAUGAAGAAGUCCCAUUUGAUGAGGAUGAGGAGGAUUAUGGGAGAGAUGAUAAGUCAGCUAUCUUGGGACAACUUAACUCUCAUGGAUCUCAGAAUGCCCAAGCAGGUCCUAUGGAAGUAGAGGAAAAUAGGAAGAAAAGCAAGAAAGAAGUAAUGGAGGAAAUCAUUCAAAAGAGUAAAUUCUUUAAGGCCCAAAAAGCGAAGGACAGAGAAGAAAAUGACGAAUUAACUGAACAAUUGGACAAAGACUUUACAUCACUGGUGAAUUCGAAAGCCUUGUUGUCCCUGACCCAACCAGACAAGAUACAUGCUCUGAAGGCUCUUGUGAACCAGAACAUUUCAGUUGGUAAUGUGAAGAAAGAUGAGGUACCUGAUGCUCCCAGAAAAGGACCUAUUGGAAAGGAGAAGGCCG